AAACAUUUCCAAAUCCAGAUAAGCUACUCACCAAUGAAACGCAUUUUAUUCAAUAAUAUAAUUUAAUAGGAGCCCUGCCUCCAUUUCGGGGUGCCCCCUCAGACUAACACUAAGGAAGAGUUUGCUUCAAACCCUUGUUUUUUUUCUUCCUGAUGAGCCAUAAGCUCUUGACCUUUUCUGUAACAUAAGGAGGUUGGUUGCUGGGCUUUUCUCUGUGAAAAUGCUAACAUCUGCAUCUAACUAUUAAUUACCAAGAUCUUUUUUGGUUCUUUUAGCCUCAGCAGUCAUUGCUCUAAUCCUUAAUAUCAAGUCUUCCCAUCAGGGGACUAUUCGUUGUUAUUAUCGCUCUACACGGUUUCUAAGGUGUCCACCCACAUCACAACUAAGUCUGAAAGAGAGAAGCAUGUGGUAAGAGCUGCUUUGCCUACACAGGAAAGGAACAUUUACAUGAAAACUGCUAUACAGUGACCAACAUGGGCGAGCAAAUGGCAAAUCCCCUCAGGAAAUGGUAUGUUGUUGAGCUGCUAAAGUGGAUUUCCUCCCACCAGCACAGCCAAGAGUCCUGCCUGAACUGCCUUCUGAGGCUGAGCUGCUUUCAACCUGCCACUGCUUAGAAAUGGGAACACUGAGGCACAAGAAAUUUCUUUAAUGCUACAGAAAAGGUGCAUAACAGGCCAGAACAAAAUACAGUAGAACAGCCUUGGUCAAAUGGACAGAUGUCUGCAGCCAAGCCAGUUCCCUGAAGCUUAACCAUUAUUUUAAACAAUGAAACAUUUUCCUUUUACUGUGAA
Molecule: long non-coding RNA, 791 nt
Organism: Neopsephotus bourkii (Bourke's parrot)
Lineage: Eukaryota; Metazoa; Chordata; Aves; Psittaciformes; Psittacidae
Exons: 2
Source: RefSeq, a predicted model, not a curated record